GAGAGAGGCACGCUACGCAAUAAAUACUGCUAAUUUUUACCCUCAUGGUUGAACUCCAUGACUCACUCG
RNAcentral lists this transfer RNA (69 nucleotides) under Inegocia japonica (rusty flathead). RNAcentral describes it as "tRNA-Ser". The record is from RNAcentral. Lineage: Eukaryota; Metazoa; Chordata; Actinopteri; Perciformes; Platycephalidae.